RNAcentral lists this ribosomal RNA (447 nucleotides) under uncultured bacterium. RNAcentral describes it as "partial 16S ribosomal RNA". It matches the Rfam family "Bacterial small subunit ribosomal RNA", at positions 29 to 523 of the family's 1533-position model. The record is from RNAcentral.
AACGAACGCUGGCGGCAGGCUUAACACAUGCAAGUCGAGCGCCCCGCAAGGGGAGCGGCAGACGGGUGAGUAACGCGUGGGAAUCUACCGUGCCCUACGGAAUAACGCAUGGAAACGUGUGCUAAUACCGUAUACGCCCCACGGGGGAAAGAUUUAUCGGGGUAUGAUGAGCCCGCGUUGGAUUAGCUAGUUGGUGGGGUAAAGGCCUACCAAGGCGACGAUCCAUAGCUGGUCUGAGAGGAUGAUCAGCCACAUUGGGACUGAGACACGGCCCAAACUCCUACGGGAGGCAGCAGUGGGGAAUAUUGGACAAUGGGCGCAAGCCUGAUCCAGCCAUGCCGCGUGAGUGAUGAAGGUCUUAGGAUUGUAAAGCUCUUUCACCGGUGAAGAUAAUGACGGUAACCGGAGAAGAAGCCCCGGCUAACUUCGUGCCAGCCGCCGCCGUAA